RNAcentral lists this transfer RNA (73 nucleotides) under Paramagnetospirillum magnetotacticum MS-1. Its description in RNAcentral is "Magnetospirillum magnetotacticum MS-1 tRNA-Val". It matches the Rfam family "tRNA". Rfam says of the family: Transfer RNA (tRNA) molecules are approximately 80 nucleotides in length. Their secondary structure includes four short double-helical elements and three loops (D, anti-codon, and T loops). Lineage: Bacteria; Pseudomonadati; Pseudomonadota; Alphaproteobacteria; Rhodospirillales; Magnetospirillaceae. The record is from RNAcentral.
AGGGCGGUUAGCUCAGCGGUAGAGCACUGUGUUGACAUCGCAGGGGUCACAAGUUCAAUCCUUGUACCGCCCA